RNAcentral lists this small nuclear RNA (121 nucleotides) under Pelusios castaneus (West African mud turtle). RNAcentral describes it as "U2 spliceosomal RNA (ENSPCEG00000012108.1)". It matches the Rfam family "U2 spliceosomal RNA", at positions 1 to 119 of the family's 192-position model. Rfam says of the family: U2 is a small nuclear RNA (snRNA) component of the spliceosome (involved in pre-mRNA splicing). Complementary binding between U2 snRNA (in an area lying towards the 5' end but 3' to hairpin I) and the branchpoint sequence (BPS) of the intron results the bulging out of an unpaired adenosine, on the BPS, which initiates a nucleophilic attack at the intronic 5' splice site, thus starting the first of two transesterification reactions that mediate splicing. Lineage: Eukaryota; Metazoa; Chordata; Testudines; Pelomedusidae. The record is from Rfam by way of RNAcentral.
GACCCUUUUUUGUAACAUUCACUCCAAUAAAGUAUUUUAAAUCUGUUCUUAUCAGUUUAAUAUCUGAUACGUCUUCUAUCUGAGGACUAUAUAUUAAAUGGAUUUUUGGAAUAGGGAGAUG